AUGAUCUACCGGAGCUGGUCGCUGCUCUCGUCGACGGUGGCGAUCUGGGGCGGUGCCGCCGCCGCAGGGCUCGCCGUCGUCUCCCUCUCUGGCGGCAAGAGCGAUCCAUCCACGGCCCUAUUGGGAUUCCUCCGCUCCGAAAGGAAGCGGAAGCUUCGCGUUGGCCCCCAAGCACUGACUAAAUGGUUAGCCAUUGUGAUAGCACCAGGCAAGAUGGAAAAGUUUCAGGACUACCUGUGCCGCGAAGGCGAUAGGCUGAGGCGGCAGGACAGGGCCACCAUGGCCAGCGCCAACUAA
This 297-nucleotide ribosomal RNA is filed under the name Triticum aestivum (bread wheat). RNAcentral's name for it is "partial small subunit ribosomal RNA". The record is from RNAcentral. Lineage: Eukaryota; Viridiplantae; Streptophyta; Magnoliopsida; Poales; Poaceae.